GACGAACGCUGGCGGCGUGCUUAACACAUGCAAGUCGAACGGUGAAGCGCCUUCCUUUUUGGUGGGUGUGGAUGAGUGGCGAACGGGUGAGUAACACGUGAGUAACCUGCCCCCUUCUUCUGGAUAACCGCAUGAAAGUGUGGCUAAUACGGGAUAUUCUGGGUCUGUCGCAUGAUGGGUCUGGGAAAGAUAUUGUUUCGGUGGGGGAUGGGCUCGCGGCCUAUCAGCUUGUUGGUGGGGUGAUGGCCUACCAAGGCGGUGACGGGUAGCCGGCCUGAGAGGGUGGACGGUCACACUGGGACUGAGACACGGACCAGACUCCUACAGGAGGCAGCAGUGGGGAAUAUUGCACAAUGGGCGCAAGCCUGAUGCAGCGACGCCGCGGGAGGGAUGGAGGCCUUCGGGUUGUGAACCUCUUUCGCCAGUGAAGCAGGCCUGCCUCGUUUGUGGGUGGGUUGACGGUAGCUGGAUAAGAAGCGCCGGCUAACUACGUG
RNAcentral lists this ribosomal RNA (494 nucleotides) under uncultured bacterium. RNAcentral describes it as "partial 16S ribosomal RNA". It matches the Rfam family "Bacterial small subunit ribosomal RNA", at positions 28 to 507 of the family's 1533-position model. The record is from RNAcentral.